AUGGAGCUUCUAGUGGCAGAUGAUUCUGGUACCUCUUCAAAACACUGUGCAAAUUCACCACUGAUCUUCGGACAGGGUACCCAGCUGACAGUGCUAGAGGAGAAUGACGAAAUCAUACCACCAGCUGUAGCCAUCUUUUCUCCAUCAAAACAAGAGAUCCAACAGAAAAGCAAGGCCACACUGGUGUGCCUGGCCUCUGGUUACUUUCCUAACUACCUCAGUCUGGUCUGGAAGGUGAACGGCAUUCAGAGGACAGAAGGAGUGGGGACAGAUGAGUCUGCAACGUGGAAUGGCAGUACCUACUCGUUGACCAGCCGACUGAGGAUCUCAGACCAGGAAUGGUUCAACCCUUUGAAUCAUUUUGAGUGCGUUGCCACGUUCUUUAACAAUGACACACUGGAAUCAAUACRCAAAUUCAUCACUGGUGAUGCUGAUUGUACUAUCUUCAAAGAAAACUACCAGAGAAGUGCUGUAGCUGGGAAGAUUGUGUACAUCAUGCUCAUUUUCAAGAGCAUGUUGUAUGGGAUAUUUGUGAUUGGGCUGAUGCUCAGGUCCAAGAAAAUGUACUAGAUGUGCUUUGCCUUGAAAGAUCAGGCCUGAAGAAGAGGGUGGAGAUACGUGGCAAGUGGAGAGCUCAAAUGUUUGUACAUACUACCUUACUUGCUUCAGAAACCAGCUCUUUCUUCUGACAAAUGCGGGAAAUCAUGUUUGUUUUUUUCACUUGUUUUAGAAAC
Nothoprocta perdicaria is the source of this 734-nucleotide non-coding RNA. The record is from the annotation of a RefSeq genome assembly. NCBI's taxonomy places the organism in Eukaryota, Metazoa, Chordata, Aves, Tinamiformes, Tinamidae.